RNAcentral lists this long non-coding RNA (619 nucleotides) under Cyanistes caeruleus (blue tit). RNAcentral describes it as "lncRNA (ENSCCEG00000000144.1)". Lineage: Eukaryota; Metazoa; Chordata; Aves; Passeriformes; Paridae. The record is from RNAcentral.
AAUUUGUCUUUUAUGAAGGAGAUUUAAUUGCAGCCAUCUUCAAACAAAUUGGAAAAUAACCAGGAGCAAUUUUCUCCCAGCUACUCCUGUUCUUCGCUAAUUACCAGGCGCAAUUAGAAUAAUUCUACAGCUUUCUGCGGAUUCUGCAGUUCGCCGGUGGAAUCGGAUUGGGAUCAAAUUCGGCUGUGGUUUUCUGGCUAGCAAAGCAUAUGUGUGCUUCAGGAAGAGAACCCCUACUGCAUCUGGAAUUGGAGCUGCAACUUGUAGUUGUCUGAGCCACAUUCUUCACUGAUCUGAUGUGAUGAGAGUGGGCUGCUGGAACAUGCCUUGCUUGCCUCUUGUCACAGGUUUGUUAAGACUGUUUUCAUAAUUUUCACAAUUUCAUAUUUUUCAGUCAAAAUCUGCUUGUACUUGGAAAACACACAAGCAGGUUUGUAUUUAGUGCCUUAAGCUUUAGAUGCAAAUCUUCUAAAAGAAGUUGGUAAGGAAAACCAAAGCUGAAACAAAAAAACAAAUGGCAAACCAAAAGUGAAAUCUAUUUGCCUACACAAAGUUAUUUUAUAUACUAGGCUUUUAAAAUUCUGCCAAUUUUUAUGGGCUUCUAGUUACUUAUUCCUGG